This 510-nucleotide ribosomal RNA is filed under the name Cales sp. D3335. RNAcentral describes it as "eukaryotic LSU rRNA". It matches the Rfam family "Eukaryotic large subunit ribosomal RNA", at positions 674 to 1137 of the family's 3401-position model. Lineage: Eukaryota; Metazoa; Arthropoda; Insecta; Hymenoptera; Calesidae. The record is from RNAcentral.
UCUAACAUGUGCGCGAGUCAUUGGGACUUGUAAAGCCUAAAGGCGCAAUGAAAGUGAAGAUCGUCUCUACGUCGAUCGAGGGAGGAUGGCUCGUGUCUAGAUGCGAGCCCGCACUCCCGGGGCGUCUCGUGCUCAUUGCGAGCUGAGGCGCACCCAGAGCGUACACGUUGGGACCCGAAAGAUGGUGAACUAUGCCUGGUCAGGACGAAGUCAGGGGAAACCCUGAUGGAGGUCCGUAGCGAUUCUGACGUGCAAAUCGAUCGUCGGAACUGGGUAUAGGGGCGAAAGACUAAUCGAACCAUCUAGUAGCUGGUUCCCUCCGAAGUUUCCCUCAGGAUAGCUGGCACUCGCUAGAGCGAGUCUCAUCUGGUAAAGCGAAUGAUUAGAGGCCUUGGGGCCGAAACGACCUCAACCUAUUCUCAAACUUUAAAUGGGUGAGAUCUCUGGCUUGCUUGAACGUUGAAGCCACGAGAUUUUUGCAAUGGAUCAGAGUGCCAAGUGGGCCAAUUU